AAAAAAAGAUCAGUUCCAACUGUAUUUUGUUGGAAAAGAAAAUUAUCCUCAAACACCCCAGACAGAAGUGAUCUACUUUUUAAAAGAAACAAAACAAAAUCUGAAAUAUUAUUUACAGAAGAAAAUAUUGAAAUAAAUGAUCCAUGCACUUCUGAUAUAGGAUUUCUAACAAUGUAUUGUUUUCUGUUAAUCCAUCUGGAGAAGCAGCAAGAAAAGGAUGCAUUGUUGACACAAAUAAUCCACAUUUAACAGUUUCUAGCUUCG
RNAcentral lists this long non-coding RNA (264 nucleotides) under Mytilus galloprovincialis (Mediterranean mussel). Lineage: Eukaryota; Metazoa; Mollusca; Bivalvia; Mytilida; Mytilidae. The record is from RNAcentral.